This 1410-nucleotide ribosomal RNA is filed under the name Escherichia coli. RNAcentral's name for it is "partial 23S ribosomal RNA". It matches the Rfam family "Bacterial large subunit ribosomal RNA", at positions 1410 to 2803 of the family's 2925-position model. Lineage: Bacteria; Pseudomonadati; Pseudomonadota; Gammaproteobacteria; Enterobacterales; Enterobacteriaceae. The record is from RNAcentral.
CGUAGUCGAUGGGAAACAGGUUAAUAUUCCUGUACUUGGUGUUACUGCGAAGGGGGGACGGAGAAGGCUAUGUUGGCCGGGCGACGGUUGUCCCGGUUUAAGCGUGUAGGCUGGUUUUCCAGGCAAAUCCGGAAAACCAAGGCUGAGGCGUGAUGACGAGGCACUACGGUGCUGAAGCGACAAAUGCCCUGCUUCCAGGAAAAGCCUCUAAGCAUCAGGUAACAUCAAAUCGUACCCCAAACCGACACAGGUGGUCAGGUAGAGAAUACCAAGGCGCUUGAGAGAACUCGGGUGAAGGAACUAGGCAAAAUGGUGCCGUAACUUCGGGAGAAGGCACGCUGAUAUGUAGGUGAAGCGACUUGCUCGUGGAGCUGAAAUCAGUCGAAGAUACCAGCUGGCUGCAACUGUUUAUUAAAAACACAGCACUGUGCAAACACGAAAGUGGACGUAUACGGUGUGACGCCUGCCCGGUGCCGGAAGGUUAAUUGAUGGGGUUAGCGGUAACGCGAAGCUCUUGAUCGAAGCCCCGGUAAACGGCGGCCGUAACUAUAACGGUCCUAAGGUAGCGAAAUUCCUUGUCGGGUAAGUUCCGACCUGCACGAAUGGCGUAAUGAUGGCCAGGCUGUCUCCACCCGAGACUCAGUGAAAUUGAACUCGCUGUGAAGAUGCAGUGUACCCGCGGCAAGACGGAAAGACCCCGUGAACCUUUACUAUAGCUUGACACUGAACAUUGAGCCUUGAUGUGUAGGAUAGGUGGGAGGCUUUGAAGUGUGGACGCCAGUCUGCAUGGAGCCGACCUUGAAAUACCACCCUUUAAUGUUUGAUGUUCUAACGUUGGCCCGUAAUCCGGGUUGCGGACAGUGUCUGGUGGGUAGUUUGACUGGGGCGGUCUCCUCCUAAAGAGUAACGGAGGAGCACGAAGGUUGGCUAAUCCUGGUCGGACAUCAGGAGGUUAGUGCAAUGGCAUAAGCCAGCUUGACUGCGAGCGUGACGGCGCGAGCAGGUGCGAAAGCAGGUCAUAGUGAUCCGGUGGUUCUGAAUGGAAGGGCCAUCGCUCAACGGAUAAAAGGUACUCCGGGGAUAACAGGCUGAUACCGCCCAAGAGUUCAUAUCGACGGCGGUGUUUGGCACCUCGAUGUCGGCUCAUCACAUCCUGGGGCUGAAGUAGGUCCCAAGGGUAUGGCUGUUCGCCAUUUAAAGUGGUACGCGAGCUGGGUUUAGAACGUCGUGAGACAGUUCGGUCCCUAUCUGCCGUGGGCGCUGGAGAACUGAGGGGGGCUGCUCCUAGUACGAGAGGACCGGAGUGGACGCAUCACUGGUGUUCGGGUUGUCAUGCCAAUGGCACUGCCCGGUAGCUAAAUGCGGAAGAGAUAAGUGCUGAAAGCAUCUAAGCACGAAACUUGCCCCGAG